This 451-nucleotide ribosomal RNA is filed under the name uncultured organism. RNAcentral's name for it is "partial 16S ribosomal RNA". It matches the Rfam family "Bacterial small subunit ribosomal RNA", at positions 334 to 801 of the family's 1533-position model. The record is from RNAcentral.
CACUCCUACGGGAGGCAGCAGUGGGGAAUAUUGGACAAUGGGCGCAAGCCUGAUCCAGCCAUGCCGCGUGAGUGAUGAAGGCCCUAGGGUUGUAAAGAUAUUUAACCGGUGAAGAUAAUGACGGUAACCGGAGAAGAAGCCCCGGCUAACUUCGUGCCAGCAGCCGCGGUAAUACGAAGGGGGCUAGCGUUGUUCGGAUUUAAUGGGCGUAAAGCGCACGUAGGCGGACUAUUAAGUCAGGGGUGAAAUCCCGGGGCUCAACCCCGGAACUGCCUUUGAUACUGGUAGUCUUGAGUUCGAGAGAGGUGAGUGGAAUUCCGAGUGUAGAGGUGAAAUUCGUAGAUAUUCGGAGGAACACCAGUGGCGAAGGCGGCUCACUGGCUCGAUACUGACGCUGAGGUGCGAAAGCGUGGGGAGCAAACAGGAUUAGAAACCCCAGUAGUCCCAUGAU